UGGGGAAUAUUGGACAAUGGGGGCAACCCUGAUCCAGCAAUGCCGCGUGUGUGAAGAAGGUUUUCGGAUUGUAAAGCACUUUCGACGGGGACGAUGAUGACGGUACCCGUAGAAGAAGCCCCGGCUAACUUCGUGCCAGCAGCCGCGGUAAUACGAAGGGGGCUAGCGUUGCUCGGAAUGACUGGGCGUAAAGGGCGUGUAGGCGGUUUGUACAGUCAGAUGUGAAAUCCCCGGGCUUAACCUGGGAGCUGCAUUUGAUACGUGCAGACUAGAGUGUGAGAGAGGGUUGUGGAAUUCCCAGUGUAGAGGUGAAAUUCGUAGAUAUUGGGAAGAACACCGGUGGCGAAGGCGGCAACCUGGCUCAUAACUGACGCUGAGGGCGCGAAAA
This 388-nucleotide ribosomal RNA is filed under the name uncultured bacterium. Its description in RNAcentral is "partial 16S ribosomal RNA". It matches the Rfam family "Bacterial small subunit ribosomal RNA", at positions 355 to 759 of the family's 1533-position model. The record is from RNAcentral.